UUAGGCCAGGCCCAACCUAAACCCAAUCAUCAAUCAAGAUCAGCCAAAUCCAAAUGUACCAAACCGGAGCUAAACGCAUUUCGACAGGAGGAAUCAACGCGACAGCGGAGGAGCAUCAAAUUGGCAGCAACAAUGUCUGAGAUCCAAUUUCAUCAGGAGUAGCAGUACAAAGUUCGCAACAACUUUUCGCGGAUCUGGCAUUUCAGCGCAGACCGGAAAUGAUUUGGGAACAACGCGCUCCAGAUCGGGGAGGCGGCGAAGGGAGGUCACUUUUAAAACCAGAUCCCCCUCCCUUUGCUCUCUUGCCUUCUCCUCCUCGGCAACAACAACAAUGGGGGAACCAAUCCCCAAUCCAAAGAAGAAAAAGAAAAAAAAAAGGUCGCGACAGGCAUAUCAUAUACACAUGUAGGCGCACACGGACGGAGCGCCAGAUCUACGGCGAUGUCGGCGGGUCGCUCUCGUCGUCGUCUCCACGGCCUUAGGCGGAGGAGCGGGCGAGGCGGGAUGCGAUGGCGGAGUGGUACAUGGCGUCGUGGAAGGACUCCGUCUGCGCCAUCCGCGCGCGCAGCUCCCGGGCCUUCUCCUCCGUCAGGCCCCCCACGAACGCCCUCCCCGGGGUGGCCGCCGACGCCGCCUCCUUCGCCGCGGGGGCCGGAGCCUCGAUGUAGUCGGCCUUCCCGGACCACCCCAGCAGGGGCGCCCACCACUUGCCGCUGCCCUCCCCGCCACCCGCCGCGGCGCGGGCCACCCCGGCGCCCGCGCUGGCGGCGCGCGGCCGGGCGGAGGAUGCCCCCGCCGGGCGGGCGGGGAAGGAGACGGAGGCGGCGGUUGCGCACGGUGCCAUCGCCAUUUCGGAUCGGUCGGUCGGGCUGUUGCUUGCUUUGGAAUUUGGUGGGUGGGUGCGAGGUGAGGAUGCUGCUGAAGCCUGGGAAAGAAAGAUGAAUGCUGAUGGUGAUGGAGGUGAAGGCCGUAGGGAUGGCGGGGCGUUUAUAGCGGCCGGAUAGGGGAGGGAUGGGAUGGGAUGGGCGAGUGGAUAAGACCGCCGCGUGGAUACGUGCGCGGCAUCCUGGUACGGUGUUACAGGCUGUCCAGCAACGGUGGCCCGUCAUGUCACUGACGCGUGGGUCAGGUUGCGGGCUCCGGCUACGGCGUUGGUGUCUUUUUUUUUUUUCUUUUCGCCGUGACGGUCAUGCCGUUGGGGGCGGUUAACGUUGUUGCGAAGGUAGGGCGAACACGCAAUGUCGUCUUAAUUUAGGUUUUUCUAGAAGAGGAUGCUCACGUGGAAAGAGCAACUCCAACAAUAGGUCGAUUUAAGCUCUGAAGAUUAAAUGGAGAUUCUUUCUAUUUUUUAAGAGCCACAAAAAUACUUCCAAAUCAAGCAAUAACCCUCAUAAAUAGAGGGCUCCCUAGUGACCCCUCAGGAAUGAAACGUGGAGGGGAAUUUGAAAGCCUCACUAAAAUAGGGAGAUAAGUAGAGAGCUUGUUGGAGUGCAUUUUUUUUUUACUUGGCCUUCUAAAACUUGGGAUAGGGGGUUGUUUAGAGGAUGUGCUGGAAUUGCUCUAACAAUUUUUGGCAUCAUGAUGAUCUCUAUCUCAUGUCCGAUUCUGAACGGGAUAAAGAACGAACUAUUUGUUUUGACUUUUCUAGAUACAUACCUUUUGAUAUGCAUCUAAAUAUAUAUUAUGUCUAUAUAUAUAGCAAAAGUUAUAUACUAGAAAAGCUAAAAUAGUAAUUUGUGACGGAGGGAGUAAUUUCUAAGAAUUUGUGUAUGAAAUGGAAAAUUUCAAUUCCAUCCAUAUCAUAAUGAUAACAAUUUUUUCAAGAUGCCUAAAAAAUGACCAUUGUCAAGUCUUACUGUUGUUAAAGAAUAAAUGCCAGCCACCUAUAUUGUACUCCAUAUUCGCAUAUUCAACUCAAGUAGAUGCCUCUGUCUACGGAGUACAUUUGCAUUUUCAACUCAAGUAGAUGCUUCUAUCUACAUCGUGUGAUUACCGCUUCUCGUUUGUUGACCUAAUUAGGUUUGGCAUCUUUGGUAGAACUUCGGCUCCUUCGAAAAAGACUCCGAUUGCGCUUCCUCUGAUGAAGUUGCUUCUCUAGUAGAGUUGGAACCGUUUUGACGUUUUGAAAAAUGUUUGGCAAAACGGCUUCUCCUAUUUUUCAUGAAUAAUGUCCAUUAUACCCCUCGCUAUCUAACUUCAUUGUAGCGAUUUCAUCUAAAAUAAAAAUGAUUAAUUAGUAUGAUUAUAGAUUAACAAUAAUCUACUUUUUCCUUUUCAUUCCCAUUUUCUUUUUAUUAUUUUAUUCUCUCUACCCUUGUAAUUUUUUAUAUUUUUUCUCACCUUUUAUUUUCUAUCUUCUCUCUCAAUCCAUCAUCCUUAUCCGAUGCUCGCUUCCUCCACCGCACAAGAAUGCUCCUCGGCCCUCGCCCUUCUCUACCUUGUUGGCCGCUGCCGGCCUGCCGCUUGCGGGCUGCCCCAUGCGCGUGGCUCUGGCACCACCACAUUGUUCUGCUGCUGCUCCACCGCCCAUCUGCAUAGCAGCUGGUGCUCCACCCCUGCAGCUCCUUCACGUUGUGUCCCUGCUGCUGCUCCACCGCCGUUGGCCGUUGCUCUGCUCUGUAGGCGCCGUGCCGGCUGCUCCAGCUCAGGGGCACCGCUUUAGCCCCUGCACGAUGCUCCCCCGAAGCCGCAUGGCCCCAACGGCGACGCAACACUUCCCCAACGGCCAAUGACCCGACGCCAUGCGCUUUGCUGCCGUUUGUGGCAUUUUUAGGUGAAAUAAUCACCAACUCAAAAGGGUAUUCUGGUACGUGCUGGUGUGGGGACGGAGAGGAGCCGGAGGAGCCAGUAUUUUUGCUCUGCCCCCUAAUUCAAAACCGGUUCCAGCUCCAUCGGUGCUUCAACAGAGGAGCUGCUACUUUUUUUUCCAGGGCUCUAGCAGAAGCCGCGGCGGAGGUGGAGCCCCACCAAAUUGGCCCUUAAUACUCUCCACUUGUUUGUCCUUUCUUUUUUUGGAAGAGUUUGUUUGUCCUUAUUAACUUUCAUGGUUGGAAAGUUGGAACUAGGGUCACGCAAGCUGCGAGAACCGUUCUUUUGCCCAAAGUGAAAGGGUGACCAAGGCUUAUCAAAGGGGUAACUCGUCCAGUAGAGGUACAUGGUGUACAUAUGUACACCUAAUAAUUUUAAGAGAAAAAAUUUAUCCAGUACAUAUAGGUAUAUCCUGAUAUGUAAAAGUGGGUCAAAACGUGUCUGUCUGAGCCGAAACAAGAAAAACAGGCUUGUGGGCCGGCUGUUUGCUCGGCUUGUUGCCUCACGACGUGAAUCCCCUUCUCUGUGAUCCCCGACGUCGUGAAUCGUGAUCCCCGCGCCUCCUCUCCUUUCUCAACUUCUCAUCCGUUUUCUGGUUCGCUGCCGCUAGCGCUAGGGUUAGCUUCCUUCCUUGGCCAUGGCCGUCCCCAUCCAUCGGCGCCUGCUAUAUGGAAGAGGAGCGCAAGAGCGGAGGGCUGAUCUGACAUGGGGUUUGUGCGCCAUGCCUUCUGCACAGCCGGCCAUAGCAAGGGCGGAACAAGUCACCGCGUGACAGCAACGGCCAUGACAAGUGCGGAAGGGCCGGAAGCAUCGCCGGCCCCGGCAAGCACAAACACAGAGGAGGCAGAGCCCACGUCGAGGGUAUUUUGCUUUGUUUGCUAUCAGGGAUACAAAUUCUAAGGGUGGAAAUAGUUUUCGGCUUUGAUUUUUGUGAAGAACAAGCUAAGAAAUAACACGAGGGGCGCUUCAAUAUUUAAAUGAUUGUUUGAUUACAUUUAUCGAGAAGGAACUUUCCUACAUGUUGUUGAUGAAGACAUCGUGGCCGUGUUUAGUUGGGGAAUUUGGGAGGUGCCAAAUUACUGUUACAGCACUGUAGCACACUGUAGCGUUUCGUUUGUAUUUGUGAAUUAUUGUCCAAAUAUUGACUAAUUAGGCUUAAAAGAUUCGUCUCGCAAAGUACAACAAAACUGUGCAAUUAGUUUUUAAUUUCAUCUACAUUUAGUACUCCAUGCAUGUACCGCAAGUUUGAUGUGAUAGGGAAUCUUCUUUUUGCAUAGUGUCAAAGUUGGGAGUUGGGAGUAACUAAACAUGGCCCGUCUCCCGUUUCCAAAAGCUGCCUCAUCGAGUUAAUUUGUAAUUUUUUAUAAGUUGAUGGUUUCAAAAUAUUGUAUGAAUACUAGAUUAAGGAACUAUUUAUACUAAUACCAUGUAGCCUUCAACCUUUAUUUUCAUGAACCUUUAUCUUUUAUAUGCGAUGAUUGUUUGGUUCGUCAGUAUGUAUACACACUCAAUCUUGAAUUCCUGCGCCUGCCACUGAACUUGCACAUGCGGUCCUCUUGGAAGAAAGAAUUCAGCAGUGCGAUUGUUUGGACAUCCCAGUAAGCAGGCACUAGUGGUGUGACUUUCAAGAGGUUUCGCGGCACGGAUUCGUGGUAGCAAAUGGGAGCAAGGAUGCGUAGGGAGCAAAUAAUUUAUUACAUCCUGAAGUCAACUAAAAUAAAAAUGACGUGUAGAGAAGUAAUGGAUAGUUAAACUCGGUUUUUUGUCGUUGAAAACUCUCGAGAAAUUAUUCACCCGCAUUACUUAUUUCAUUUCACAAAUUUCCCUUCCUUCAAGAAGGUAGCCCCUGGCGGAUGUUUGAAUUUGUUCGGCUGCGCUGCAGGUGUUUUGCGUGCGCGUAUGCUCGGUCCGUGUGUUUCUCUAGAAAAGAUUGGCAUGCGACAUGGGACUCGGGCCGAUGUGGAACGGAAAGCCGAGAGCCACGAGUUGGUCAUCAAGAGAGAAUGACCCGGAUGGCCGCAGAUCAGGUGAGCAUUGAGAAUCGUCGUCUCGGAUCCUCGUCAGGUGGUCACGGUCCGUGAGGUCUGUGGACCACAGUGUCUGGUAGGUACUCCGUGCGGCGGGGCCUGGCUGCUUCGGCGCGCCUGCCAAGUGCCGGUCCGCGCCGCGACACGCUGACUCACCGUCACGGGCACCGACCGCGUCCCCGGCUCCCGCUCCGAGCCGAGUCAGCGCCACGCUGCUGCUGACACUGAUGUCAAAACGUACGGGAGGGAGGGAGGGAGGAGGCGGCUCGAUGGCAACUCCGGCGGUGGGAGCCUCAUCCACGGCCUGUGUGGAUAGACGAUGCAAAAGCAGGGGAUCAUCAUCACACAUCUAAGCACCAAUCGGAUCAAAACAACAAAGUUUGUGAUGAUGUAAACCACAUUAAGCCGAGAUCACAGCACCAUCUGUACAUCCACGGUAAAAUGCGGAAUCAGAGAUGGACCAGAACGGGGUCGCGCGCUAAAACCGGAACCCCGUCCCGUUCCUCCUCGACAACGACUACCACUACCAGUCUACUACUGCUAUGUACACGCGGCGCCGGCGAGUUCCUCGUCCCCGCGGCGGCGGCCUACUGGCCCUAGGCGGAGCGCGCGAGGCGGGACGCGAUGGCGGAGUGGUACAUGGCGUCGUGGAACGACUCCGUCUGCGCCAUCCGCGCCCGCAGCUCGCGGGCCUUCUCCUCCGUCAGGCCCCCCACGAACUGCCUCCGGGCCGCCGCCGCGCCGUCCUGCGCCACCGCCACCACCGGCGCCGGGGCCUCCAGGUAGUCGGCCUUCCCCGACCACCCCACCAGCGGCGCCCACCACUUGCCGCCGCCCUCCGCCGACCCGGCGGCCGCGCGGACCACCCCGGCUCCUGCCGCGGCGCCGCGGGGCCGGAAGACGGCUGCGCCACCCGCCGGGGUGGCGGGGAACGAGACGGCGUGUGAGGACGGGUGCCAUCGCCAUUGGAUCUGUGUUGGUUGUUUCUCUUGCCCUGACCGGGUGCAGUGCAGUUGCUUGAUUGCUUUUUGCUUGAAGGGAAACGAGGAUGGAUGGAUGGAUGUCUAUGGCUUGGGGACGGUGGGGAACUUAUAGCGAUCGGAGCGGGGAGGGAAGGGAAGCGAUGGGGACGACGAGCGAGCGGAUAAGACCGCCGCGUGGCCACGCGGCGUCGAUCCCUGCCCGGGUCCGUUACGCGUCGCACGGCCUCAUGGGCCGUGGUACACCUGUACUCCUGUACAGCGAGCGACGGUUACCCUGCCAAGAAUUGCUCCUCUGCAAUUACCGCUUUCCUGAGCCACCGACAGCUGCCGUUGUUUCUUUACUUUCCUGAGCCACCGACAGCUGGGCCCGUCCAGGUGGUGGCUAAUAGGGGCCAGUGGUCUGUUUUGGCCUUGUCAUUGCCGUGACGGUGGUGCCAGCUCGAGCGGUUAAUGGUUGUUGCCCCACGCGAUAGGAGUGCGUAAACUAUCGUCGGACGUCGGACGGGGCUAGCAUCGGACGCAUCACUUUGUUUAUUCUCUCCUGCAAACCGUGUGCGAGUGUCCGGGGAUAGAUCCGCGUUAUAACGUUCUACACGUUUUUCUUUCUUAAUACAUAUAAAGAUACGCAGCUUUCCUACGUAUUCACGAAAAAAAAUUCUCUCCACGCAGCUCUGAGUGCAAGCACGCACCUACCUCUUCUACCCGCAUCAGCUAUGCCAUGAAAAUAGCUGCUGCAGCGUAUGCACGGGAGAUAAGGUAAGGCGGCAGGGGAUCUCUGAAUCAAGCGAUCUGACCACGGUUCCUGAGCGUUGUGGAGGCAACAGCCUUGGCACGGCCCUGGAGGUGGACGAGGCGCACGACCUCGGCGGCAUCUGCCAUUCUAAACAUCAGCAGGACAGAAGCUGCGAGGAGUACUGGAUAGGGGAGCAAAACAAGAAGAGGAUAAAGUUGACCGACCAAAGGAGCAGCGAAGGGUCAUGUGGAUGGAAUCCUGGUCGAGGUUCAUCUGCUGAGGCUGAGGGCGAAUCUGUGAUGCACAACCAAAUGCUGAUCAUUUUGAUACGCAGUAUGUAGCUCAGCAACUGUACACUGUUUCGCAACCAAAUCGCAGAGCAAAUCUGUGGUGAUUUUCGAGUAUGCAUGGCGCAUCACUGAUUGAUAAAUGGGUCAUGGACAUCGACACGCGUCGAGAAGCAACAACGGCCAAUUAUUGGGCAAGAUGAGGAUGAGGGGUGCCGAUUAGGCCAGGCCCAACCUAAGCCCAAUCAUCAAUCAAGAUCAGCCAAAUCCAAAUGUACCAAACCGGAGCUAAACACAUUUUGACAGGAGGACUCAACGCGACAACGGAGGAGCAUCAAAUUGGUAGCAACAAUGUCUGAGAUCCAAUUUCAUCAGGAGUAGCAGUACAAAGUUUGCAACAACUUUUCGCGGAUCUGGCAUUUCAACGCAGACCGAAAUGAUUUGGGAACAACGUGCUCCAGGGAGGCGGCGAAGGGAGGUCACUUUUAAAACCAGAUCCC
RNAcentral lists this long non-coding RNA (7338 nucleotides) under Setaria italica (foxtail millet). Its description in RNAcentral is "long non-coding RNA (SITA_LNC001890)". The record is from RNAcentral. Lineage: Eukaryota; Viridiplantae; Streptophyta; Magnoliopsida; Poales; Poaceae.